RNAcentral lists this ribosomal RNA (500 nucleotides) under uncultured bacterium. RNAcentral describes it as "bacterial SSU rRNA". It matches the Rfam family "Bacterial small subunit ribosomal RNA", at positions 28 to 517 of the family's 1533-position model. The record is from RNAcentral.
GAUGAACGCUAGCGAUAGGCCUAACACAUGCAAGUCGAGGGGCAUCACAUGAAGUAGCAAUACGGAUGGUGGCGACCGGCGCACGGGUGAGUAACACGUAUGCAACCUGCCUUCAACAAGGGGAUAACCCGUUGAAAGACGGACUAAUACCCUAUAACACAGGGGUCCCGCAUGGGGAUAUUUGUUAAAGAUUGAUCGGUUGAAGAUGGGCAUGCGUUCCAUUAGCUGGUUGGUGAGGUAACGGCUCACCAAGGCAACGAUGGAUAGGGGAACUGAGAGGUUUAUCCCCCACACUGGUACUGAGACACGGACCAGACUCCUACGGGAGGCAGCAGUGAGGAAUAUUGGUCAAUGGACGCAAGUCUGAACCAGCCACGUCGCGUGAAGGAAGACGGCCCUACGGGUUGUAAACUUCUUUUAUACGGGAAUAAAGUGCCCCACGCGUGGGGUUUUGCAUGUACCGUAUGAAUAAGGAUCGGCUAACUCCGUGCCAGCAGCCG